GAUGAACGCUGGCGGCGUGCCUAAUACAUGCAAGUCGAGCGAACGGACGAGAAGCUUGCUUCUCUGAUGUUAGCGGCGGACGGGUGAGUAACACGUGGAUAACCUACCUAUAAGACUGGGGUAACUUCGGGAAGCCGGAGCUAAUACCGGAUAAUAUUUUGAACCGCAUGGUUCAAAAGUGAAAGACGGUCUUGCUGUCACUUAUAGAUGGAUCCGCGCUGCAUUAGCUAGUUGGUAAGGUAACGGCUUACCAAGGCAACGAUGCAUAGCCGACCUGAGAGGGUGAUCGGCCACACUGGAACUGAGACACGGUCCAGACUCCUACGGGAGGCAGCAGUAGGGAAUCUUCCGCAAUGGGCGAAAGCCUGACGGAGCAACGCCGCGUGAGUGAUGAAGGUCUUCGGAUCGUAAAACUCUGUUAUUAGGGAAGAACAUAUGUGUAAGUAACUGUGCACAUCUUGACGGUACCUAAUCAGAAAGCCACGGCUAACUACGUG
Molecule: ribosomal RNA, 497 nt
Filed under: uncultured bacterium
Lineage: Bacteria
Description: partial 16S ribosomal RNA
Rfam family: Bacterial small subunit ribosomal RNA
Source: RNAcentral